GACGAACGCUGGCGGCGUGCCUAAUACAUGCAAGUAGAACGCACAGUUUAUACCGUAGCUUGCUACACCAUAAACUGUGAGUUGCGAACGGGUGAGUAACGCGUAGGUAACCUGCCUGGUAGCGGGGGAUAACUAUUGGAAACGAUAGCUAAUACCGCAUAAUAUUAAUUAUUGCAUGAUAAUUGAUUGAAAGAUGCAAUUGCAUCACUACCAGAUGGACCUGCGUUGUAUUAGCUAGUAGGUGAGGUAACGGCUCACCUAGGCGACGAUACAUAGCAGACCUGAGAGGGUGAUCGGCCACACUGGGACUGAGACACGGCCCAGACUCCUACGGGAGGCAGCAGUAGGGAAUCUUCGGCAAUGGACGAAAGUCUGACCGAGCAACGCCGCGUGAGUGAAGAAGGUUUUCGGAUCGUAAAGCUCUGUUGUAAGAGAAGAACGGGUGUGAGAGUGGAAAGUUCACACUGUGACGGUAUCUUACCAGAAAGGGACGGCUAACUACGUG
RNAcentral lists this ribosomal RNA (505 nucleotides) under uncultured bacterium. RNAcentral describes it as "partial 16S ribosomal RNA". It matches the Rfam family "Bacterial small subunit ribosomal RNA", at positions 28 to 507 of the family's 1533-position model. The record is from RNAcentral.